This 74-nucleotide transfer RNA is filed under the name Actinomadura sp. KC06. Its description in RNAcentral is "tRNA-Met". It matches the Rfam family "tRNA". From Rfam's summary of the family: Transfer RNA (tRNA) molecules are approximately 80 nucleotides in length. Lineage: Bacteria; Bacillati; Actinomycetota; Actinomycetes; Streptosporangiales; Thermomonosporaceae. The record is from RNAcentral.
AGUGGAGUGGAGCAGUUCGGUAGCUCGCUGGGGUCAUAAUCCAGAGGUCGGCGGUUCGAAUCCGUCCUCCGCCA